GACGAACGCUGGCGGCGUGCUUAACACAUGCAAGUCGAACGAUGAGGCCCUGCUUGCUGGGUGGACUCGUGGCGCACGGGUGAGUAAAACGUGAGUAACCUGCCCUUUACUCUGGGAUAAGCCUGGGGAACAGGGUCUAAUACCGGAUAGAAGCGCUCAUCGUAUGGUGGGUGUUGGGAAGAUUUAUCGGUUUUGGCUGGACUCGCGGCCUAUCAGCUUGUUGGUGAGGUUAGGGCUCACCAAGGCGACGACGGGUAGCCGGCCUGAGAGGGUGACCGGCCACACUGGGACUGGGGCACCGCCCGGACUCCUACGGGAGGAAGCAGUGGGGGAUAGUGCGAAAUGGGCGGAAGGCUUAAGCAGCGACGCCGGGUGGGGGAUGACGGCCGUCGGGUUGGAAACCGCGUUCAGGAGGGAAGAAGCGAAAGUGACGGUACCUGCAGAAGAAGCACCGGCUAACUACGUG
This 466-nucleotide ribosomal RNA is filed under the name uncultured bacterium. RNAcentral describes it as "partial 16S ribosomal RNA". It matches the Rfam family "Bacterial small subunit ribosomal RNA", at positions 28 to 507 of the family's 1533-position model. The record is from RNAcentral.